This 274-nucleotide unclassified non-coding RNA is filed under the name Hevea brasiliensis (rubber tree). The record is from RNAcentral. Lineage: Eukaryota; Viridiplantae; Streptophyta; Magnoliopsida; Malpighiales; Euphorbiaceae.
GCUUCAGACAAAAUUCAAGAUCUAUAAGAUCACAUUUAAUCAGAACACUUUACCAGGAUGGGUCAUGUCUAUAGCUUGGCUUGUAUACUUGUUGUGGCUUUGGAUUUCAUUCAAAGAACCAGCUCGUGAUGAUGAUGUGGGAGCCCCACAAAAUGCUGGUCCCGAAGCAGGGACUGUUCCACCCGAGGAAAUUGAAAGUGGCCUUGCACAACCUCUGCUUUUGAACACAAAAGAGAAACAGGUUGAAGAUGGUGACGAAGAUUGUGAUGAUAGU